Magnolia sinica is the source of this 362-nucleotide long non-coding RNA. RefSeq lists it as uncharacterized. The transcript has 3 exons. The record is from RefSeq and is a predicted model, not a curated record. NCBI's taxonomy places the organism in Eukaryota, Viridiplantae, Streptophyta, Magnoliopsida, Magnoliales, Magnoliaceae.
CGGCUGGAACAAGUAUUUGUUGGCCUGAUUGUUGUUGUUUGGUUGUGACAACUAUGGAUUGAGCUAAACGGAGGGAUCUCUCUCUCUCUCUCUCUCUCUCUCUCUCUCUCUCUCUCUCUUUGUUAUUUCUGAAAACAAAAAUAAUUGAUUUUGACAGUUGGUUGUGACAGCUAAUGUUUGUUUCAUGUUAGUAGUUUUGCUUGACUAAUCUACAAAGAUUUAUAUUGUGAUUUGUUUCAGCUUUUCAUCUUCUUAUGCGUAACAGAAGUGUAGAUGCAUUUUCAUCAGGACUACUUGGCAGUAAGAGAGGUGGAUGAUCAAUAUAUACCCUUGUGUUCAGUUUCUAUCCAGGUAAGUAGAUA